AGCUCUAUCGUCUAACGGAUUAGGACAGCAGAAUACGAAUCUGCAAAUUGGGGUUCGAUUCCCUAUGGAGCUA
RNAcentral lists this transfer RNA (73 nucleotides) under Aureispira sp. CCB-E. Its description in RNAcentral is "tRNA-Arg". It matches the Rfam family "tRNA". From Rfam's summary of the family: Transfer RNA (tRNA) molecules are approximately 80 nucleotides in length. Their secondary structure includes four short double-helical elements and three loops (D, anti-codon, and T loops). Further hydrogen bonds mediate the characteristic L-shaped molecular structure. tRNAs have two regions of fundamental functional importance: the anti-codon, which is responsible for specific mRNA codon recognition, and the 3' end, to which the tRNAs corresponding amino acid is attached (by aminoacyl-tRNA synthetases). tRNAs cope with the degeneracy of the genetic code in two manners: having more than one tRNA (with a specific anti-codon) for a particular amino acid; and 'wobble' base-pairing, i.e. permitting non-standard base-pairing at the 3rd anti-codon position. The record is from RNAcentral. Lineage: Bacteria; Pseudomonadati; Bacteroidota; Saprospiria; Saprospirales; Saprospiraceae.